UUCUUCUUCUAGAGCUUCCCAGGGGUAUCCAGAGAAAGGGCUUACCUCCCCCGGACCCAGGUAUAAGACCCUUGGAAUGGAGCGUCACAGAGGGUGAGAAACCUGUAUUUGACAUGGACCGGCCAGUGCGUUGUGGUGUGCUCUCAAAGAGUCGAGUUGUUUGGGAAUGCAGCUCUAAAUGGGUGGUAAACUCCAUCUAAAGCUAAAUAUUGGCGAGAGACCGAUAGCGAACAAGUACCGUGAGGGAAAGAUGAAAAGGACUUUGGAAAGAGAGUUAAACAGUAUGUGAAAUUGUUGAAAGGGAAACGCUUGAAGUCAGUUAUGUUGGCUAGUGAUCAACCUAGCUAUUUUUGCUGGGUGAAUUUCCUAGUCUGACAGGCCAACAUCAGUCUUGACUGCUGGAAAAGAGCAGGGGGAAUGUGGCACCUUCGGGUGUGUUAUAGCCCUUUGUCAUAUGUGGCAGUUGGGACUGAGGGAUGCAGCGUGCCGCGAGGCUGGGUUUUGACCACGUUCACGCUUAGGAUGUUGGCUUUUAAUGGCUUUAAUCGACCCGUCUUGAAACACGGACCAAGGAGUCUAACAUGCCUGCGAGUGUUUGGGUGGAAAACCCUUGUGCACAAUGAAAGUGAAAGUUGAGAUCCCUGUCGUGGGGAGCAUCGACGCCCGGACUUGAGCUAUUAGCGAUGGAUCCGCGGUAGAGCAUGCAUGUUGGGACCCGAAAGAUGGUGAACUAUGCCUGAAUAGGGCAAAGCCAGAGGAAACUCUGGUGGAGGCUCGUAGCGAUUCUGACGUGCAAAUCGAUCGUCAAAUUUGGGUAUAGGGGCGAAAGACUAAUCGAACCAUCUAGUAGCUGGUUCCUGCCGAAGUUUCCCUCAGGAUAAUC
This 883-nucleotide ribosomal RNA is filed under the name uncultured Amanita. Its description in RNAcentral is "eukaryotic LSU rRNA". It matches the Rfam family "Eukaryotic large subunit ribosomal RNA", at positions 125 to 983 of the family's 3401-position model. Lineage: Eukaryota; Fungi; Basidiomycota; Agaricomycetes; Agaricales; Amanitaceae. The record is from RNAcentral.